CUCCGGUUGAUCCUGCCGGCGGGCACCGCUAUUGGAAUACGCUUAAGCCAUGCGAGUCGAGAGGGUUCGGCCCUCGGCGCACCGCUCAGUAACACGCGGAUAAUCUGCCCUUGGAUCGGGGAUAAGCUCGCGAAAGUGAGUAUAAUACCCGAUAGGUCUCGAAUGCUGGAAUGCUUUGAGGUCGAAAGUUGCGGCGUCCAAGGAUGAGUCUGCGGCCUAUCAGGCUGUAGUGGGGGUAAAGGCCCCACUAACCUAUUACGGGUACGGGUCUUGGGAGAGAUCGCCCGGAGAUGGGUUCUGAGACAUGAACCCAGGCCCUACGGGGCGCAGCAGGCGCGAAAACUUCGCACUGUGGGAAACCACGACGAGGGUAUUCCAAGUGCUUAUACUAAGUAUAAGCUGUUUAUCUGUCUAAAAAACAGGUAGAGUAAGGGCUGGGUAAGACGGGUGCCAGCCGCCGCGGUAAUACCCGCAGCCCAAGUGGUGUUCGUUUUUAUUGGGUCUAAAACGUCCGUAGCCGGCUUGGUAAAUUCUUGGGAAAAUCGGGCAGCUUAACUGUUCGAAGUCCGGGGAGACUGCCAGGCUUGGGAUCGGGGGAAGUUAGAGGUACUUUCAGGGUAGGGGUGAAAUCCUGUAAUCCUGAAAGGACCACCAGUGGCGAAGGCGUCUAACUACAACGAAUCCGACGGUAAGGGACGAAGCCCUGGGGCACAAACGGGAUUAGAUACCCCGGUAGUCCAGGGUGUAAACGCUGCGGACUUGGUGUUGGGAAGCCCUCGAGGUUGCCCAGUGCCGGAGAGAAGUUGUUAAGUCCGCUACCUGGGGAGUACGGUCGCAAGACUGAAACUUA
RNAcentral lists this ribosomal RNA (850 nucleotides) under uncultured archaeon. RNAcentral's name for it is "bacterial SSU rRNA". It matches the Rfam family "Archaeal small subunit ribosomal RNA", at positions 1 to 858 of the family's 1478-position model. The record is from RNAcentral.